This 464-nucleotide ribosomal RNA is filed under the name Vreelandella stevensii. RNAcentral describes it as "partial 16S ribosomal RNA". It matches the Rfam family "Bacterial small subunit ribosomal RNA", at positions 338 to 795 of the family's 1533-position model. The record is from RNAcentral. Lineage: Bacteria; Pseudomonadati; Pseudomonadota; Gammaproteobacteria; Oceanospirillales; Halomonadaceae.
CCUACGGGGGGCAGCAGUGGGGAAUAUUGGACAAUGGGGGCAACCCUGAUCCAGCCAUGCCGCGUGUGUGAAGAAGGCCCUCGGGUUGUAAAGCACUUUCAGUGAGGAAGAACGCCUGGUGGUUAAUACCCAUCAGGAAAGACAUCACUCACAGAAGAAGCACCGGCUAACUCCGUGCCAGCAGCCGCGGUAAUACGGAGGGUGCGAGCGUUAAUCGGAAUUACUGGGCGUAAAGCGCGCGUAGGUGGCUUGAUAAGCCGGUUGUGAAAGCCCCGGGCUCAACCUGGGAACGGCAUCCGGAACUGUCAAGCUAGAGUGCAGGAGAGGAAGGUAGAAUUCCCGGUGUAGCGGUGAAAUGCGUAGAGAUCGGGAGGAAUACCAGUGGCGAGGCGGCCUUCUGGACUGACACUGACACUGAGGUGCGAAAGCGUGGGUAGCAAACAGGAUUAGAUACCCUAGUAGUC